This 309-nucleotide ribosomal RNA is filed under the name uncultured soil bacterium. RNAcentral describes it as "bacterial SSU rRNA". It matches the Rfam family "Bacterial small subunit ribosomal RNA", at positions 27 to 341 of the family's 1533-position model. The record is from RNAcentral.
GAUUGAACGCUGGCGGCAUGCCUUACACAUGCAAGUCGAACGGUAACAGCACUUCGGUGGCUGACGAGUGGCGAACGGGUGAGUAAUACAUCGGAACGUGCCCGAUCGUGGGGGAUAACUACUCGAAAGAGUGGCUAAUACCGCAUACGAUCUACGGAUGAAAGCGGGGGAUCGCAAGACCUCGCGCGGACGGAGCGGCCGAUGGCAGAUUAGGUAGUUGGUGGGAUAAAAGCUUACCAAGCCGACGAUCUGUAGCUGGUCUGAGAGGACGACCAGCCACACUGGGACUGAGACACGGCCCAGCUCCUA